Molecule: RNA transcript, 2706 nt
Organism: Mangifera indica (mango)
Lineage: Eukaryota; Viridiplantae; Streptophyta; Magnoliopsida; Sapindales; Anacardiaceae
Gene name: putative F-box protein At3g16210
Exons: 3
Source: RefSeq, a predicted model, not a curated record
CACGAAUGGUUCAGACAACAGUCGACUAAAAUCGAAUCGCACCCAAAAGCGAUGUCGUUGCCAGCAAAUUAUUAUUAUCUUCAAGAAAAGUAACAGUUUCUCUCUCGUUCUCUCUCUGGAGAGUCUGUAGAGCCCCUAUCUUCAGCUUUCUCUAACACCCUACUUGGAAUCUUAAAGGAAACCCGCGCAAUUCAAGGCAGUCUUCAAACAUCUCAGACCAUAUGAAGAAGAUUUGUGAAGAGAGAGAGACGAGGAACUCAUUUGGACUACCAGAUGAUGUUAUGGUUAAUAUCUUUCUGCGACUGUCAAUCAAGAAUCUAGCUCGAUUGCGGUGUGUGUGUAAAUCAUGGAAUGACAUAAUAAUGAGCCAGUCAUUUGUUGGCUUCCAUCUUAAUGAAACCAACAGAAAACCUCGUCUCCUUAUCUUUAGGUAUGGUGUCAGCCCUUCAUAUUUAGGCUUCUACCACCCAAAAUGUCAGCAGUUUGAGAAUCUUCAUGAUCCCCCUUUUGCUACAAGACUUGUAGAUUUAGAUUUGCUAGGUUCAUGUAAUGGCAUUCUCUGUUUCUGCAGCACUGCUGACCAUUCCCUUAUCUAUAUGUGGAAUCCUUUGAAUAACAAGUACAUAACCCUUCCCAAACCCUCAUAUAACCCUCGUUAUCUAGGGUUUGGUAUCAAUUCAAUGAGUGGAUAUCUUGAUGACUUCAAAGUGGUAACUAUCUCUGCAAAUGCAAAGGCUGAAAUCUACAGUUUGAGGACAAAUUCAUGGAAAGUUGUUGGUGAUGGGUUUCCUCGAAGUAUUGAGAUAUAUGGUAGUUAUAUUAGCUGUCCUGUUUUUGUCAAGGGAUCUGUGCAUUGGUGUGCUCGGUACAGCUGUUAUCUUGACAGUAAGUGCACUUGGCUUAUAGUCUCAUUUGACUUCUCCAAGGAGGUUUUUCACACAAUUAUGUUGCCGGAUGCAAUAUCCAUUGAUGAUGAUGCCAAGUACUUGAAUGUUCUAGAUGGAUGUCUUUGUGUUUUUGCCAGUACUGUUUGUAAUUCUUUUCGCGCUUAUGAGUUAUGGGUAAUGAAGGAGUAUGGUGUAAUUGAGUCUUGGACUAGGCAAUGCAUAAUUGAAAAGGCUCAGAAAUUUUGGUUGCCUAUAGGAUUCACAACAAAGGGAGAAAUUCUUGUACGAGGAAAUUGUGAACAUUGUGGCAAUGCUUUACUGUCAUACGAUCCAAAUACAGAGAUAUUUGAGUGCCUUGAUGUUCACCUUCCUUAUUUUUCAAUUCAAGUGUUGACAUUUGUGGACAGCAUAAUCACACCUGUGCCUCAAUUUGUGAUUAAAGGCUAGAAGCUAAUUUUAUUUUUGGAGCUCCUUUGAGAGGGGGUUGAGCAGCCUCAAUUUGUGAUUAAAGGCCAGAAGCUAAUUUUAUUUUUGGAGCUCCUUUGAGAGGGGGGUUGAGCAACUGACAUCAACUGUGGCAUUGAAGGGGAAUGUCCUCCAUUAUAUGGUUUUACCCCAUGUUAUAAAUAAAACAUAUUUCAUUCUUGCUCUAUUCAAUUUCUUUAACAGUGUUUUGGAUGAUUGUUCGUAAAUUCAAUAUUUUUCUGUAUCAUUGUUUUAUAAAAUUCUGUUUCUCAAAGCAUAUUGCUUCUGUCUUUUGUUUAAGUGUGGAUAUUUUCCACAAGAGGUAGGAUGGAACUGUUCAUUUAUCUGAUGUGCUGACACUUUUUUUAAGGUAAGGUUUUUGUUUUAGCAUUACCUUUAGAUCAUAAUGUAGCGCAAUAUCAUUCAAUAUUUGACUUGGAUGUCAAUUUGUUCUGACUCAAAACUUCUGAUUCUCAUAUUUGUCGUGGCUCUUUGCAGCAAAACACUUCUCGCUUUUGAUUUUUAUGUCUUUCUGCAUUUAUGACUGAUUGCAUUAUGUUCUAUGCUUCUUACUUUUGGAAUUGAUUUUAACUUUUGGAGUAAGGUCAAUCAGAUAGCAAUAAUCAUGCUUUUGUUUAUAUGGUUGAUGGAACUUCAUAAAUUUUGCUAAUGUAGUUGGUGAGUGUUGAUUCAUCAUCUGUACUUAAGCUUUUAGAUCUCUGGCUAGUUAUUGGGUUUUCCAAGGAACAAGUCCUGAUAAUAAUGUCGACAAUCUUCUAUACAUAAAAUCUCCAAAGAUACCUGGAAUAUUGCAUAAUACAGUUUACAAGCAGCCACAUUAUUUCCGAUGCUCACUGGUAACAUUUGGUGCAAACAUAAUUUUUAUUUUGGCUUUCUACUGAGAUGAUUUUAAUUUGCUUUUGUGUCAGACUUCAACAUCUCCUCAUAAAAUUUCUAGUGUUGAUACUGGCUGUUGGGAGUCGACAUAUGCAGCAAGAAACACUUUGUUCGGUCUCUUCAGGAACAAUAUGCUUCGAGCAUUUGGGCACGCUACAAUAUAAUACCUCUUAACACUUUCCAGCAGUCAAACAAAAAAGGAUAAAUCCUUCUGUCAUCUCCAGCAAGAACUUUCUUAGAUUUCUCCUGGGCACACUGAUUGGGUAACAUUGCUUCAUCGGCUUAAAUGAAGGCUAACCAGAAUCACCUUCUACAUUAGAGUAGAUACUAAGUUUCAGAGAACUAGGCCACUGCCCCUGUGCAGCACUGAUUUUGUGACUUGGAGGUUGAAGGAGUAUCUUUAUUACAAGACUUUGAAUGAAUGCAAUCAUCUGAGUAAAGCAAGAGAUUUCCGGUA